RNAcentral lists this ribosomal RNA (571 nucleotides) under Alternaria alternata. Its description in RNAcentral is "eukaryotic LSU rRNA". The stretch from base 198 to 351 matches the Rfam family "5.8S ribosomal RNA". The record is from RNAcentral. Lineage: Eukaryota; Fungi; Ascomycota; Dothideomycetes; Pleosporales; Pleosporaceae.
CUUCCGUAGGUGAACCUGCGGAGGGAUCAUUACACAAAUAUGAAGGCGGGCUGGAACCUCUCGGGGUUACAGCCUUGCUGAAUUAUUCACCCUUGUCUUUUGCGUACUUCUUGUUUCCUUGGUGGGUUCGCCCACCACUAGGACAAACAUAAACCUUUUGUAAUUGCAAUCAGCGUCAGUAACAAAUUAAUAAUUACAACUUUCAACAACGGAUCUCUUGGUUCUGGCAUCGAUGAAGAACGCAGCGAAAUGCGAUAAGUAGUGUGAAUUGCAGAAUUCAGUGAAUCAUCGAAUCUUUGAACGCACAUUGCGCCCUUUGGUAUUCCAAAGGGCAUGCCUGUUCGAGCGUCAUUUGUACCCUCAAGCUUUGCUUGGUGUUGGGCGUCUUGUCUCUAGCUUUGCUGGAGACUCGCCUUAAAGUAAUUGGCAGCCGGCCUACUGGUUUCGGAGCGCAGCACAAGUCGCACUCUCUAUCAGCAAAGGUCUAGCAUCCAUUAAGCCUUUUUUUCAACUUUUGACCUCGGAUCAGGUAGGGAUACCCGCUGAACUUAAGCAUAUCAAUAAGCGGAGG